UUGGGAUCCCUGACAGCAUGGGCAUUCCGAAAAUACCUGAAUAAAUGUGAUGAAAAAUCUGCCAGCAGAGAGUUGGGAGGAGCUCCCUUGAGAACAUGGGCAGGGAGCAUGGAGGGAAGAAGAGGAUGGACCCGCAGGGAGCAAGGUGGACCACCAGGGGCGGCUCCGGCAAGCGGCCGGUCUUCCCCAGGCCUGUCAAUCCCAACCUGCUGGGAAGUCUGCAGACGUUCCCUGACGACCUUAAAGUUACUGGAAAUCCACUUCUUAUGAAAAUCGCCCGAGGCCCAUAACCUAGGGUGCCAUCCACCGGUAUCUAUUGAUCCGAUAAUGGAGAUGACUUCAAAGAUCCUGAGAAGAGCCACCACCAGUGACCACCAGGGUGAUGCCCACCCCUCUCCGUUUCCUUGAAAGAGGAGGCCGAGACCCCAGCGCCGUCUCACUCUCCCGAUGGCCGGCGUCCUCCCUUGACCCGGACUGUGUCCCAGUAAAUCCCCUAUGGGCCCUUCCUGA
Marmota monax (woodchuck) is the source of this 510-nucleotide long non-coding RNA. RefSeq lists it as uncharacterized. Lineage: Eukaryota; Metazoa; Chordata; Mammalia; Rodentia; Sciuridae. The transcript has 2 exons. The record is from RefSeq and is a predicted model, not a curated record.